RNAcentral lists this ribosomal RNA (460 nucleotides) under uncultured bacterium. RNAcentral's name for it is "partial 16S ribosomal RNA". It matches the Rfam family "Bacterial small subunit ribosomal RNA", at positions 338 to 795 of the family's 1533-position model. The record is from RNAcentral.
CCUACGGGAGGCAGCAGUGAGGAAUAUUGGUCAAUGGCCGGAAGGCUGAACCAGCCAUGCCGCGUGAAGGUCAGUGCCCUAUGGGCGUUAAACUUCUUUUGUGCGGGAGCAAUAAUGGUAACGUGUGGCCAGACGAGAGUACCGUACGAAUAAGCAUCGGCUAACUCCGUGCCAGCAGCCGCGGUAAUACGGGGGAUGCAAGCGUUAUCCGGAUUUAUUGGGGUUAAAGGGUGCGUAGGCUGUGAGGUAAGUCAGCGGUGAAAUGCCCCCGCUCAACGGGGUGAAGUGCCAUUGAUACUGCCUUGCUGGAAUGCGGAUGCCGUGGGAGGAAUGUGUGGUGUAGCGGUGAAAUGCAUAGAUAUCACACAGAACACCGAUUGCGAAGGCAUCUCACGAAUCCGCGAUUGACGCUGAUGCACGAAAGCGUGGGUAUCAAACAGGAUUAGAUACCCCUGUAGUC